CCCUUUAGGGGAAGAAGACGAAGGGGGUUCCCCUUUAGUUCCCCUUUAGGGGAAGAAGAAGAACUAAAGGGGAACCCCUUGGGAUCCCCUUUAGGGGAACCCCUUGGGAUCCCCUUUAGGGGAACCCCUUUAGUUCUUCAUCCCCUUUAGUUCCCCUUUAGGGGAAGAACUAAAGGGGAACUUUAGGGGUUCCCCUAAAGGGGAAGAAACUGUCCCCCCCCUUUAGUUCCCCUUUAGGGGAUGAACAAGUUUGGUGGUCCCCUUUGGGUGUCUUUGGGUUCCCCUACUUGUUCCCCUUCGGGGAAAACCAAAGAGCUCCCUUUGGUACACUUGUCAUCCCCUAAAGGGGGAACUAAAGGGAAUGAUGACAACCCUUUGGUUCAUCCCCUAAAGGGGAACUAAAGGGGACGAUAACCUUUGGUUCGUCCCCCCCCCUUUGGGCUCGUUCCCUUAGUCAUCACCGAAGGGUGGCAUCCCCUUUGGUAACCCAAAGGGGGACACCAAAGGGUUGUCAUCAUUCCCUUUAGUUCCCCUUUAGGGGAAGAAGAAGAACACUUUAGUGUUCCCCUUUGGUUCCCCUUUAGGGGACGAAGACGAAGGGGUUCUUCCCCUUCGUCUCCCCUUCGUUUUCACACUAAAGGGGAAGAAGAAGAACCCCUGUCUCCCUCUGGUCUAAGUCCCCUAGGGUUACUUCCCUUUAGUUCCCAUACCCUUUGUUCCCCUAAAGGGGAUGGGGAACAAAGUUUGUUCAUCCCCUAAAGGGGAACUAAAGGGGGUUCCCCUUUAGUUCAUCCCCUAAAGGGGAACUAAAGGGGAUGAAGACAACCCCUUUUGGGGGAACCCAAAGGGUAAACCAAAGGGGAAACCCUUUGGUUGUCCCCUUUGGUUUACCCUUUUUGUUCAUCUCCUUUAGUUCCCCUUUAGGGGAUGAACUAAAGGGGACAGCCUUCCUUAUUCGGUUCCCCUUUAGGGGAUGAGCCGAAGGGGGAACCAAAGGGUAAACCAAAGAAGACGGAAACCUUUGGGGAACCUUUGGUUCCCCUUUAGGGGGACGUCAUCCCCUUUGGUUUACCCUUUGGGGAUAACCUUUGGGGGAACCCUUUGGUAACCCCCCCCUUCGGGGUUGUCUUCCCCUUUAGGGGAACCCCUU
RNAcentral lists this long non-coding RNA (1150 nucleotides) under Volvox carteri. Its description in RNAcentral is "long non-coding RNA (VCAR_LNC004150)". The record is from RNAcentral. Lineage: Eukaryota; Viridiplantae; Chlorophyta; Chlorophyceae; Chlamydomonadales; Volvocaceae.